AUUUUGUUUCCCCCUAUAAACCCAGUGUGAGUGGCAACUGCUGUAAUUAGGGAGCACAGCCCCCCCCAAGGCUUUCCCUCUACAUUCUGCAUUUCCAUAUUGUCUACUUAGCAGGGUUCUUGGCCCUUCGAUUAUACUUGUGCUAGUUUCAAAAGUCAGCUGGUCCUGACACAGCUCUGCCACAGUCCAGCCAUCACCUGUGCCAUUUCAGUUCUCAUGACAUCACAGGAGCCCAACCCUGGACAUCACAAGAGAUUAACCUUUGGCCUCAGGUUUUGACCCUGAAAACCUCAGGAACCAGGAUGGUACUAUGGAUGUUGAGUGAUAAAAGUAAUUUUGGCUAGGACUUACUGGGUUUAAAUUCUACCAUCAGCAGGUAUGGAGUGUGGCUGUUAUACAGGUUAAUGGGUUUUUUCCCAUUCCAUACUUGUUUAUUUUGUGGCACCUUGACUGUAAGCAGAAGUCAGUAUUCUGUGGCCAGGAGUGGGAGUUAACCUGCUAAAUAGACAGAAGUCAGUAUUCUGUAAGCAGAAGUCAGUAUUCUGUGACCAGGAGUGGGAGUUAACCUGCUAAAUAGAUCCUACUGCCAUUUUGAAACAGCAGUAACAGUGAUGGGGCAGAGACCCAGCUGGGGAUGUGUGAAAUCUGGAUUAUAGGAUAGUUGAAUGACAGGAUUUGAAGGACUGGAUGGCAGGAAUCUGGGAAGUGAAGAGCACUCUACCUUUGGAGGUGAGCAGUGAGGACUGUGCAUGGCAAAUUGUUGAAAUUUGGGGACAAGCACCAAGAAACGACCGUCAUGAAAAGUAUCUGCACAUUUGAGAAAUCUCUCCAUUGAAGUUAGUUCAAGGAUCAAACUGCAUAAGGACCAUUAUCAGAGAGCUGCUGCUGCUUCUCCUCCUCCUUCUACCUUGUAAUCAUCAUCAUCUUAGAACUUCACAGUGAGAAGUCCAGCCCCUGUCAAGGAGGCACUGUGGGGAACUGAACUCCCAACCUCUGGCUCCGUAGUCAGAUAACUAAGCCACUCAACUAUCCAGCACUCAGUACAUGCUGAGAAGGACUGAGCUAGCACUAGCUGACCAGCAAAGAAAUCAGGAGAUUGGCGUGGAUACCUGAAG
RNAcentral lists this long non-coding RNA (1115 nucleotides) under Pogona vitticeps (central bearded dragon). RNAcentral's name for it is "lncRNA (ENSPVIG00000006772.1)". The record is from RNAcentral. Lineage: Eukaryota; Metazoa; Chordata; Lepidosauria; Squamata; Agamidae.